CCCCCGGCGGGGAGAACUCCGCGGCUGCCGGGAGCGCUCCGCUGUCCCCCGGGCACCCUCAGCCACCGCGGGCUGGGAGUGAGAGCAGGAAAGCGAAAGUUGCCUCCCGGCGAGGUGGAGCAGUGGCAUCGUUUCAUUGGAAAUUUGUGUUACUUGAUACUACAACUGCCCUGGGAGAACUAGGAUGGAAAACAUUUCCCUUAAAUGGGGUAAGUCUCUCAUCAUUUUGGUUUUUUUUGGUCUGGAUUUUGGCAUUCUGACACUCUGGAAGUGA
Molecule: long non-coding RNA, 274 nt
Filed under: Cyanistes caeruleus (blue tit)
Lineage: Eukaryota; Metazoa; Chordata; Aves; Passeriformes; Paridae
Description: lncRNA (ENSCCEG00000001169.1)
Source: RNAcentral